CCCGUUUCCUGCCAACCCCUUCACAUCUGCAGCUGGAGCUCGGUCUGACGGAAUCUGCUUCUCACUAAAAUACUCACCGACAUCAAACAACUGAUUUCAGCAGUUUAAGUGUUGCUCAAACAUGGAUCCAGAUUCAGAUUUAGAUCCAGAUCCAGAUCUCACCAUUGUCCUUCUGGGAAACACCGGAGUCGGUAAAAGUGCUUCAGGAAACACCAUCCUGGGAUACCAGGCCUUCGAGUCAGGACCUUCCCUCAAGUCAUUGACAACUGAAAUCUCUGAAAAACCUGGAACUGUGUUUGGGAAACAGAUCUCAGUGAUCGACACUCCGGGAAUUUUAAGACGUGAGGGGGAGAUUCAGACCGAGUGUCAGCGUGUCCUGCAGUCGUCCAUACCUCGUCUGUUCCUGGUGGUUGUCAGCGUCGGACGGUUCACAGAAGAACAAGAGAAAGCUCUAAAGGCAACCAUCCCAGUCCUCGGGCAGGAUGGACUAGAAAAGAGUUAUAUACUUUUCACAAACGGGGAUGCCUUGAAGAAGAUGUCAGUGGAUGAUUUCAUCUUUGAAGAAGAAGAAGGUCCACUUCCAGACAUCGUUAGAAGAUUUGCAGGGAGGUAUCAUUCAAUAAUGUAAAUGGAGGACAGGAACAAGUCCGAGAUCUGCUGAUAAAGUCCGGUCACCUUCAAGGAUCUCAUCUACCACCAGCUGCUGGUUCUGGAGAGUCCGUCCAGGUGGAGGAAACGAGGAUCGUGCUGCUCGGUCUUCCUGGAGGAGGGAAGAGUGCAUCAGGAAACACCAUCCUGGGAGCGGAUCUGUUUAAUUCAGACUUGGACUUUAAUUCAGUCAGUACUGAGACUGUUUCAAAGUCAGCAGAGGUAGAGGGACGCUGGAUCACGGUGGUCGACACUCCAGGAUUUACUGAUGAAGUUCUGUCUCCUGAACAGCUGUAUAACGAGAUUAUGAAGUCGCUAGUCGACGCCAGUCCAGGACCACAUGCUUUUGUUAUUGUGGUGAAGAUUGGCAGGAUGUCCAGAGCUGACGUUGCCCUGCUUCAGAUGCUACCAGAACUAUUCGGCGAUGAGGCCCUGAACUACACCAUGUUGGUGUUUACUCAUGGAGACGAGCUGGGAGGUCAGUCAAUGGAUCAGAAGAUCCGGUCCAGCAGCUGUGUGUCAGACCUGGUCUCCAUGUGUGCUGGGAGAUUCUGUGUGUUUGACAACAAAGGAAGAAAAAGCAGAAGGCAAGUUCGGAACUUCAUGAGUAAAAUCAACGAGAUAGUCUCAGCCAACGGAGGAAAGCACUGCUCAUCCGACAUGUUCAGGAUGGCCAACACGUUCGUCAGUGAAGCUGUGAGAACUGGGACAGCUGGAAGCGAUCAGGCACGGAGAGAAGCUGCACAGAUACGAAUACAGCUUUAUGUUGCCCGGAGCUGGUGGAGGGUCUGUUGCUGUUUCACAGCAUGCUGUUGUUCAGCCAGUGGAUCAGAUGAUGAACGUGAGGCUCUUCUGCCCAGAGAUUAAUGGUCAUCUGAGAGACCGGUACAGGUUAAAGGGCUGUCCACAUCGAAUGAUAACUGUAAAUAUAUACUUGAACUAUAGAUACACUUAAAGUCCAGACACUACUAUAACAGUGAUGGUGGCGAACGAUAUCGUUGGGAUCACAACGAUAAAAUGAAUCAGUAUAGAAAGAAACAGAACAGGAGCUUCUUUUAGCAUCCUUCUCAUGUUCUCAUUCUUAUACACAUACAUAUUCAUAAAGACGCUGUCUGAACUCCAGAUAGACUUUUACACAGCAGCUUUACGUGUUUGUUUUCCUGGACAGUUGGGACAUUACAUUACACUGCAUGCUAAAUUGUCUCUAUACAUAUUUUUUUAUAAUGGUUAAAUCCACAGUGACUGAUGGAUGUAUGCAUGAGGACAUAAUGGAAACUGACCACAUUUAAUCUACAUGUUUUUAUACUUUAUUGUUUUAAUAUUUGGACUGAAACGUUUAGAGUUUCAGGGAGUCGAGCUAAUGUAUGUAUAAUUAAUCAACAUAAUAUUUAAAUGAAUGUUAACUUUUUGACGUUUUUUUUAGAUGGGUUUGUUUUGACGCUUUUAAAUGGUAAUCCAGCUUCAAUAGCCUGCUGGUUGGUUGGAAUAAUUAAUGAUACCUUACUGGUAGACCAGCUUCACCAGUAAGACCAUGCUGGAGGACCAGCAUAUCUGCCACCGUUUAUGGGUAUAUGCUGUUUUUUCCAGCAGGGAUUCAUCAGUGUUCUUAUACAUCUCUUAUGGCCCUCGCAGUAUUCUGUAUUGUGCCUUUCAUAGAUUUGUAUGUGCCUGACUAAUAGGAGAGUGAAGGCUAUUUUUUCCUUUAAGAUCUUUGUUCCCAACAGACGUAGCUGCUGCAGAUCGGCUGAUUGGGAGGCUGGCUAUUUAACUUCCUGUUUCCAGUAUCCAAACGGAGGCUUGAUGUUGGCAAAAGCUUGGUCCUCCUCGUCCUCCAAACUGUUAACUGUGUUCUGUGUGCUUAUUGGAAUUGGUUUAGUGCCGUAGUAAAUUUGAGUUCAACUGUUAGUGUGUAUAUUUGGUAUAUAGCCUAGUUAGAAAGUACUUUAUUUUUGUACAAAGCAGUAGGGGUGAAUCGCCAUUUCAGUUUGACCAUGUUUUCUCCUGUUUUUCUUUAGUUACGGAGUUAGAUUUAGAAAUUGUAUUUUGGUUUGGUUUUCUUUGGAUUUAGGUUUAGACAGAACUCUGUUCAGGAGAACAGGGGUUUUCUGUUUAUCAGUUUGGCGUUGAUUCACCCUGAAGCUAAGCUUCCGUUAGAAUUAUUAAGAUUCAAGUGUUUGUUUGUGAAAUAACCUGGUUUUAUUUUUAAAGCAAUAAAUUGCUUGAUUAUUUCAAUUUCCA
Molecule: long non-coding RNA, 2886 nt
Organism: Sander lucioperca (pikeperch)
Lineage: Eukaryota; Metazoa; Chordata; Actinopteri; Perciformes; Percidae
Exons: 3
Source: RefSeq, a predicted model, not a curated record